ACGGAGGGUGCUAGCGUUGUUCGGAAUUAUUGGGCGUAAAGAGCGUGUAGGCGGUUUGGUAAGUCAGAUGUGAAAGCCCUGGGCUCAACCUAGGAAGUGCAUUUGAAACUGCCUGACUUGAGUAUGGGAGAGGAGAGUGGAAUUCCCAGUGUAGAGGUGAAAUUCGUAGAUAUUGGGAGGAACAUCCGUGGCGAAGGCGACUCUCUGGACCAAUACUGACGCUGAGACGCGAAAGCGUGGGGAGCAAACAGG
This 252-nucleotide ribosomal RNA is filed under the name uncultured bacterium. RNAcentral's name for it is "partial 16S ribosomal RNA". It matches the Rfam family "Bacterial small subunit ribosomal RNA", at positions 525 to 776 of the family's 1533-position model. The record is from RNAcentral.